This 492-nucleotide ribosomal RNA is filed under the name uncultured bacterium. RNAcentral describes it as "partial 16S ribosomal RNA". It matches the Rfam family "Bacterial small subunit ribosomal RNA", at positions 29 to 507 of the family's 1533-position model. The record is from RNAcentral.
AGUGAACGCUGGCGGUAGGCCUAACACAUGCAAGUCGAACGGCAGCACAGUAAGAGCUUGCUCUUACGGGUGGCGAGUGGCGGACGGGUGAGGAAUACAUCGGAAUCUACUUUUUCGUGGGGGAUAACGUAGGGAAACUUACGCUAAUACCGCAUACGACCUACGGGUGAAAGCAGGGGAUCUUCGGACCUCGCGCGAUUGAAUGAGCCGAUGUCGGAUUAGCUAGUUGGCGGGGUAAAGGCCCACCAAGGCGACGAUCCGUAGCUGGUCUGAGAGGAUGAUCAGCCACACGGGAACUGAGACACGGUCCAGACUCCUACGGGAGGCAGCAGUGGGGAAUAUUGGACAAUGGGCGCAAGCCUGAUCCAGCCAUACCGCGUGGGUGAAGAAGGCCUUCGGGUUGUAAAGCCCUUUUGUUGGGAAAGAAAAGCAGCAGGUUAAUACCCCGCUGUUCUGACGGUACCCAAAGAAUAAGCACCGGCUAACUUCGUG